This 114-nucleotide ribosomal RNA is filed under the name Candidatus Terrybacteria bacterium RIFCSPHIGHO2_01_FULL_48_17. RNAcentral also lists the same sequence under 1 other name. The record is from RNAcentral. Lineage: Bacteria; Candidatus Terryibacteriota.
UGUGGUGUCCAUACCGGAGGGGUCACACCUUUUCCCAUUCCGAACAGAGCCGUUAAGCCCUCCAGGGUCGAUGGUACUUGGGUAACUCCCAGGAAGAGUAGAUCGACGCCACAA